This 535-nucleotide ribosomal RNA is filed under the name Hanseniaspora opuntiae. RNAcentral's name for it is "eukaryotic LSU rRNA". It matches the Rfam family "Eukaryotic large subunit ribosomal RNA", at positions 86 to 635 of the family's 3401-position model. Lineage: Eukaryota; Fungi; Ascomycota; Saccharomycetes; Saccharomycodales; Saccharomycodaceae. The record is from RNAcentral.
ACGGCGAGUGAAGCGGUAAAAGCUCAAAUUUGAAAUCUGGUACUUUCAGUGCCCGAGUUGUAAUUUGUAGAAUUUGUCUUUGAUUAGGUCCUUGUCUAUGUUCCUUGGAACAGGACGUCAUAGAGGGUGAGAAUCCCGUUUGGCGAGGAUACCUUUUCUUUGUAAGACUUUUUCGAAGAGUCGAGUUGUUUGGGAAUGCAGCUCAAAGUGGGUGGUAAAUUCCAUCUAAAGCUAAAUAUUGGCGAGAGACCGAUAGCGAACAAGUACAGUGAUGGAAAGAUGAAAAGAACUUUGAAAAGAGAGUGAAAAAGUACGUGAAAUUGUUGAAAGGGAAGGGCAUUUGAUCAGACAUGGUGUUUUUUGCAUGCACUUGCCUCUCGUGGGCUUGGGCCUCUCAAAAAUUUCACUGGGCCAACAUCAAUUCUGGCAGUAGGAUAAAUCAUUAAGAAUGUAGCUACCUCGGUAGUGUUAUAGCUUAUUGGAAUACUGCUAGCUGGGAUUGAGGACUGCGCUUCGGCAAGGAUGUUGGCAUAAU